Molecule: ribosomal RNA, 497 nt
Filed under: uncultured bacterium
Lineage: Bacteria
Description: partial 16S ribosomal RNA
Rfam family: Bacterial small subunit ribosomal RNA
Source: RNAcentral
GAUGAACGCUGGCGGCGUGCCUAAUACAUGCAAGUCGAGCGAACGGACGAGAAGCUUGCUUCUCUGAUGUUAGCGGCGGACGAGUGAGUAACACGUGGAUAACCUACCUAUAAGACUGGGAUAACUUCGGGAAACCGUAGCUAAUACCGGAUAAUAUUUUGAACCGCAUGGUUCAAAAGUGAAAGACGGUCUUGCUGUCACUUAUAGAUGGAUCCGCGCUGCAUUAGCUAGUUGGUAAGGUAACGGCUUACCAAGGCAACGAUGCAUAGCCGACCUGAGAGGGUGAUCGGCCACACUGGAACUGAGACACGGUCCAGACUCCUACGGGAGGCAGCAGUAGGGAAUCUUCCGCAAUGGGCGAAAGCCUGACGGAGCAACGCCGCGUGAGUGAUGAAGGUCUUCGGAUCGUAAAACUCUGUUAUUAGGGAAGAACAUAUGUGUAAGUAACUGUGCACAUCUUGACGGUACCUAAUCAGAAAGCCACGGCUAACUACGUG